Molecule: non-coding RNA, 340 nt
Filed under: Eucalyptus grandis
Lineage: Eukaryota; Viridiplantae; Streptophyta; Magnoliopsida; Myrtales; Myrtaceae
Description: Eukaryotic small subunit ribosomal RNA
Rfam family: Eukaryotic small subunit ribosomal RNA
Source: Rfam by way of RNAcentral
UGCAUCCCUUCCAAAAGUCGGGGUUUCUUGCACGUAUUAGCUCUAGAAUUACUUGUCUCUUCUACCGGCGAUACACUCCUAGUCUUAACUGGUCGGAUCGUGCCUCUGGUGCUGUUACUUUGAAGAAAUUGGAGUGCCUAAAAAAAGCCUACGCUCUGUAUACAUUAGCAUGGGAUAACAUUAUAUAAUUCCGGUUCUAUUGUGUUGGCCUUCGGGAUCGAAGUAAUGAUUAGCAGGGAUAGUCGGGGGCAUUCGUAUUUCAUAGUUAGAGGUGAAAUUCUUGGAUUUAUGAAAGACAAACAACUAGGGUUUGUAAAAAACAACUAGGGUUUGUUUGUUA